Long non-coding RNA from Equus caballus (horse), 2493 nucleotides. Lineage: Eukaryota; Metazoa; Chordata; Mammalia; Perissodactyla; Equidae. The record is from Ensembl.
GGAAACUCCCCAAGCUCUUUCAUUAUUUGCCACGCAAGCCAGGUCGUGAGCUUUGGCAAGGCAAGUCAGUCUGCCAGAAGCCGUAUUGUCUGGGACUUCCCAUGCCUGUGGAAAGGAACCGUGAGUAGGACCUGGAAAUUCGCAAGCUCUGGGGUAAAGACACCUGAAUAAAGGAUGAUGGGCCCAGGGAGGAAGCAGCCCUACUGUGUUGCAGGCACUGGCCAGCACUGAGGAUGCAGGAGUGCACAUACCAUCCCAGCCUUUGUGGAACUUACAGUCCAUGGGGAAGACAAAUAUUCCAGGAAGAAUCGCAUGAUGACAGUUGUGAUCAGUGACGCAGGGGAAAAGCACAGGCUAUGGGGGUGGGUGUCUCAUGGGGUCCUAACUUUGUGUGUUGGUGGAGGAAGAUUAGGGGAAGCUUGCACGGGAAAGCGAUACUUAAGCUGGAACUAAAGGAUAGUAGGAAUUAGUAGUUUCUAAUUAGCCAGAAGUCAGAUGCACAGGGACACUCAGAUCAUAGUAAGGAGGAAUGGGUAGCCACGGAAGGGUUCAAGGGGAGGGGGUAGGGGUAGAGCUCACCUAUCAGAUUUGUCCUUCAAAACGAUCAUCCUGCGUAUACCCAGUCUGGCACUAAAGAUUAGAGAUGCUAAGGUGACUACGAUACCACGUCAGCUCUCAGGAGCUCAGAAACCACUAUGGAAUACAGAUGAAAACACAGUACAGUGUGAUGCGUGAACUAUCUCAAUCAUUCUCAUACCUUAGCGUGCAUCAGAGCCCUCUGUGGGCUUAUCAAAAUCUAGACCUCUGGGCCCCACCCCCAGAGUUCUGAUUUCAUACUUUGGGAGUGAGGCCUGAGAAUGUGCAUUUAUAACAAGUUUCCGGGUGAUACUGAUGCUUCCAGUCUGGGGACCACACUUUGACAGCCCCAGAAUGAAUCGAAUCACAUGCAUGGAGUUCAUUCUGAGUGGUGGGGGAGGAAAGCAUUUUGGAAGAAUCAAAGCCUGAGCAGAGUUUUGAGGGAUGAAUAGGAGUUCAUUAGACAGACAAGGCAAAAGAAAGGCUACCCUAGGUAUGGGAAAAAGCAUGAACAAAGAAGCCAGAAGUAGCUUGGUGGGUCCGCAGGUGAGAAAGAUGAGCUGGCAAAUCCCAAGCAAGCGCGGCAAACGGGAUAACAGAGGAGGAGCUGCUGCUCUCCCCAAGGGAACUACCACCGACUAUACCCUCUCUGCUCAGCAGGCGUCCAUCGCACGAAGGACCAAGCAUUUCCGGAACCCCAGGCCCCAGCAGAGAGAGGGGCUGGCUGUGGAACGCCUGGGUCUCUCCUGCUCCACGUCACACGUGCGGCAAGCUGCAGCUGCACACCGUUUUUCUUUUCCUCCCAGAACAAAUUACAGGUCUUUUUUUUUUUUCUCAAGUGGCUUAGCUGAGGCCCAUAGAGCAGGUUUCUGUACUGAAUGAGGCUCUUGACUCUGCCAGCCUGGGAGAAAUUAGGUCGGUUUAAUCACCGGUGAUGUCAUAAAAGCCGCUUUCUUAAUGGGAGUGCUGAUUGGAGGGGCGGGGGUAGAGACGGGCGCUGAGGUCACCUCUGAGCAGAACUGCACAGGCUGCUGAGGACGGCUCUGGAGAAAGGCAGAUCCACGGGCAGUGGCUGCCCAAAGGCUUUGAAGUUUCAUUUACAGUGUUUUACAACCAUAUGUGGGGAGUAAAUUGUCCCUGCAGGCUGCUGCACUUUGCCCUCCCCUCCAAGGGGCGGUGGAAGUCACACUAAUAGUAUCUGUCACAAGAUAAGGGCACAGGAUCAGAGAGCAAGGAGGAGACAGAGUUGGCCUGUCCGUGACCUUGUAGUGGGGAGCUCUGUGGCCCUCUGCUAAGUUUCUCAGGGCUCUCUGCUGUCUUGGCGUGUGUCCCUCGGCAGCUCAGCCACCCUCUCAGGGUCCUGCCUCCUCAGUGUCUGAAGUCUUAGCAAGACGAGGAGGAAGGCAUUUUAUGUUUCCAGCAGUGGCACUGAGUUCAUGCAAAAUCAGACUUGAGGUGGAGCAGAUUUGUUGAGGAGGUAUUUGCUUCUGUGGUUUCAAGCAGUCGUUUCCAAACGCGUGGACGUCCACCCUUUGUCGAAAAGCACCUAGUUCUGGAGGUCAGAAGUCCAAAAUGGUCUCACUGGGCUAAAAUCAAGGUGUCAGCAGGACCGUGUUCCUUCUGGAGACCGUAGAGAAGAAUUUGUUUUCUUGUCUCUUUCAACUUCUAUAGGCUGCCUGCAUUCCUUGGCUCGUGGCCCCUUCCUCCAUCUUCAAAGCCAGCCAUGUAACAUUUCCACAUCUCCUUUUCUGCCUCUGCUUCCAUUGUCACAUCUCCUUCUCUGACGCUGGGUCUCCUGCCUCCCUCUUAUAACCACCCUUAUGGUUACAUUGAGCCCACCUGGAUAAUCCAAGAUAAUCUCCCUAUCUCAAGAUCCUUAACUUAAUCAUAUCAUUCAAAGUCCCUUUACCUCAUAAG